AAAUGCGAUCCGGCUCUUGAAUGCUUCGCCCGAUACACCAUCUUAAGCCGCAUACAUCGUUUCCAGCUGCGUGACCACGGAUGUACUGGCACCGCUGUCGAGACGAUUGAAGGAAGGUCGGGUUUCAUCGCCCGGCCUUUUUCUUU
RNAcentral lists this small RNA (146 nucleotides) under Xaviernesmea oryzae. Its description in RNAcentral is "Rhizobium oryzae Alphaproteobacterial sRNA ar35". It matches the Rfam family "Alphaproteobacterial sRNA ar35". The record is from Rfam by way of RNAcentral. Lineage: Bacteria; Pseudomonadati; Pseudomonadota; Alphaproteobacteria; Hyphomicrobiales; Rhizobiaceae.